GCUGUUGCUACACGUGUGUUCUGAGGAUGACAAAGACAAGAGCAAAUAAGUCAUUUGGUAUUGUUGUUGCUACACGUGUAUUUCAACGAUGGCAAAUACAACAGUUGCCCUCUGUUAUUGUUCAUUUUCAUGGAAGCUUUGACAAAGUUCAUUCUGAGAAUCCUCUUCUUCUCCUCUGAUAAUCUUGUUGUUGUUCCCAGAUCUUCAAUUUACAUAGUAGACCAACAUAAUGGAUCAAAGGCUCCCCGUGGACGCAAUCACAAUAGAAACUACAGACUGGACCUGUAAAGUACAGGUAGUAGACAAGUUCCGGCCUCGCAAAAGCAGCGACUCAUCCGAGCAUUUUCAGACAAUACUUGUACAGGAUGAAAGUGAACAACAGGUUUCUAUAAUACUCUACGGCGAUGACAUUCCCAAGUACGAGAAUUUGUUUGGCUUUUUCGAGACAUAUUUGGUGUCGUGUGUGAAAGUUAGAGAGCCCCGCAGUUACUCAAUACGAGCUGGUACAUAAGAAUGGGUGGCUGACAGAUACACAAUCGUCGAGGCGGUUACCAAUAACAACGAAUUGGAGGCAUACACAAUCGUCGAGGCGGUUACCAAUAACAACGAAUUGGAGGCACCCCUUCCUGCUCCAAAAAAAUUGGAUACACUGUCUUUCUCAGCUAUCGAACAACAAUGUCUAGGUGUCGAAUUUGACUUAUUGGUAGUAGUAGUUAAUUGUAGCGCCAUUCAAUAGACAACUGACCAAAGCAAGCAUUUUUGGGAAGCAAUUGUCAUAGACCAGAGCAAGAAACCUAUCCUAUUUACUAUAUGGGGUGAUCUAGCCGACAACGAAGGAGCUGAAUUACUAUACGAUCUGCAUGAGUACCCUAUCAUUCUUGCGAGACGUAUUGGCGUUACUGAAUUUCGCGGUGCUCUAAGACUAGAAACAAGAUAUCAGUCGACAAUCUCAACAAAUCCUCAGUAUGUGCAGGCUACUACACUGAAACUGGGUGAAGCACAACGAGCGAAUGUUGUUGUCUUCCACUUUAAGAAGCUCAUCAUCAUCCUCACUAAAUCUGGCGCCAAUUGAAGAUCAAGUGCUAGCUAUAUCCACCAUUCCAGAGCUGUUACUACGGUACAAAGUUUCCCCGUGGAAGCGAGAUUAUUGCUCCCUGACCGUCCUCAACCAUUUUACCUGCUUGCGUGCUCGAAUUGCAGUCAGUUUGUGCGCCCCAAAACUAAAAAGAUGGUUCGAUGCUUCAACUGUAAGCUAGAACGACGAUUGGUUCCCAGGUGCCACUUCGAAGUUAACAUCAUGGAUGCUAGUGAUACAAUUACAGUAAUGAUCUCAGAAACGCUCGGUGAAAGAAUGUUGUCCUUAACCGCCGAACAAAUAUAUGAACGGGUUGCUGUCCAGGUACACAUACACAUACAAUUAACAACAGGAAAAACUCAUUUCCUUAAAAUUUGGUUCUCUCAGUAAAUAAACCCCUAACAUUAGACAAAUUUUUAUUUAUCGUACUUUUUUACUUAGCAACAACUGCUGUGUAUUGCCCGCAUAAAUCAGCUGCUCGCUCAUAUAUUAUUUAAGCUCCAACUACAAAAGCCAUUAUUCGGAUUUCUUGAUCAAAAAACUGGUAUGCUGGCUAGCACCUCUUUCACUGAAACCCACUUUCUCCUGAGGAGCCAGAUAAGAGGCAGAAAAUCGACCCACCCACCCCAGUGAAAAAAAAUUAAAGGUGUCGAUACUUGAAAAUUGAAUUUACUACUGUGGGCUAGCUAUUAUGUGACUUAAUUAUGCCUACCUUGUGCUGUAUAUCUAAAUUUCUUCAUUUAUGAAUUUGUACUUUGAAGAUUUGGGUUGAUCGCAUUGAUAUUAGUAGGGCUAAUUAUGACGGGGUUGAUACUAAUUGGAUUAAUUAUGUUCAUGGCAAGAACACCACUCUUUUCUUCCCGCUUUUUUUUUUUUAAAUAAUCACUAUCUUCAAAUUAGUUUUCAUAUCUUUAUUAAGUUGACGAGGUACUUAUUAGCUUCUACAAAUAACAUAUACUUACAUACUUGCUAACACAAAACAGAAAAAAAUCUUAUUUUAUUAGUAUAUGUAACUGUCAUAGUUUCAAUCUUUUAUUGAAGCAUAUUUAUAACAUAUUCCUUAGUUAUCAACUUUCUUUAGGCUUUGUUUGCUAGCUAUAGUUAUAUAACCCCUUCUCAUUUUUAUUUGGGGUUAUUGUGAAGAAAUUUGAACUUGAAUUUGGUCAGCGGGGGCAUGCAAAUUGUUGAAUAACUAUGGAAUAUUCUCGCUUUGCAAUUAGAAUGCUAAACUUUCAAUCUUCAGCUAUAUAUCUGCGAACCCUUUUAGUUUCAGAAAGGUUUUGAACCUGCAAUAGCGUCAGUUACUGCAUGCAAAUUCUUGACUAUUGUGUAAAAGUUUCAAUCCUUAUAUAUUUUUUGGUCAACCCUUACGAUAUCUUGAGGUUCUUAACCUGAAAUAUAAUUAUCCACUAUGGGGUUACUGUUAUAUUGCUUAAUUAUAUGUAUCUGUAAUUUUCCUGGGCUUGUCAAUUGUAUUCGGAUCAGUUAAAUGUUGUAAAUAAUAUGUACAUUACAGAAAAUUUGAACAGCUACUUUCAACUAUUCUACCCAAGUGAAUUUUUUUAAAAAUAUGUAUAGUUUGCAGAAAAAUGACAUUUUGUAUCCAGCAUUUGCAGCAUGUCAAUCUCAGCAGCUUACUACAACUAUAUUUUGGUGGCCUUUACCAGCUUCAUUACAUGGUAUGGCAUGGCAUGUACAAAGGAAUUUUGGUUGGCUAUACCAGCAUCACAGAGUCGGGCUGCAUAAACAAAGUUUUUGUGUGUUUUAUGUAAUAAUCAGACUUUAAUAUAUAAAACCUACAUGUAUAAAACCUACGCAAUGUCUCCCUUGCACGGGCUUCCGCAUCUAGUAAAAUAGAAUAAAUGACAAUUUUAAUCCUUGAAUUAGUGUUAUUACAGUUUCAA
Molecule: long non-coding RNA, 2979 nt
Organism: Capsicum annuum
Lineage: Eukaryota; Viridiplantae; Streptophyta; Magnoliopsida; Solanales; Solanaceae
Exons: 10
Source: RefSeq, a predicted model, not a curated record